RNAcentral lists this transfer RNA (57 nucleotides) under Rattus norvegicus (Norway rat). The record is from Rfam by way of RNAcentral. Lineage: Eukaryota; Metazoa; Chordata; Mammalia; Rodentia; Muridae.
UGGCUCAGUGGUUAGAGCACUGGCUGCUCUCCCAGAGGUCCUGAGUUCAAAUCCCAG